Long non-coding RNA from Cercocebus atys (sooty mangabey), 729 nucleotides. RefSeq lists it as uncharacterized. The transcript is spliced from 3 exons. The record is from RefSeq and is a predicted model, not a curated record. NCBI's taxonomy places the organism in Eukaryota, Metazoa, Chordata, Mammalia, Primates, Cercopithecidae.
UCCAGAAUAAACACAGUCUCCUGACUCCUUGCUUUUAUUCCUGUAGAACGUAUUUUUGGACUUCUGACCUCCAGAAAGGUUGCACAACAUGGCUGGACAUACUUUGGGAUGUAAAAAGGAAUACAGAGCAAAAUUUUUGCUGUUGGUACAGAGGCUUCAGAUCAAAUUGACACUGCCCACUGGGAUCCCAAGAGGAUACUCAAAAUGGAGAGACUUGCCAUGGUCCCCAUUUGUGGUAAAGAAGUAAAAUACUUGGCCAGAAUCACCAAUUGCAGUUAGUGACUGAGCCAGACUCCUGAUAAUUGGUACUGCACUGUUUAAUAGCAGUAAAACAUUCAAAUCUCACCUCUCUCACCUCCUUUACAUCUUUGUUCAAAUGUUAAUUUCUCAGUUAGGCGAACCCUGAGGGUUUCAUUUAAAAUAACACUUCCUUCUCCAACCAUUCACCCUGUUCUGUGGCUCUUCACCGCAUUUACUCCUUUCUUUUCUUUUCUUUUCUUUUCUUUUUUUUUUUAAGUAUACUUUAAGUUCUGCCAUACAUGUGUAGAAUGUGCAGUUUUGUUACAUACGUUAUACAAUUUCUACGUACAUUAUACAAUUUCUAGUAUGUUACACAAUUUCUAGUAUGUUACACAAUUAACUUAUUUGUUGUGUUUCUAACUUACCCCUUGAUCCAGAAUGGAAGCUAGAGUAGAAAUAUUUUCGUCAGCUUUCUUUUCUUUUCUUUUC